GUCGGGCCGUCUCCCAUUUUGAGUUGCCAUGAUAAUAAAAUACUAGAAUCGAGGGAAAAUAUGGUUAUCGACACGCGUUCCUUCUCCUUCACCGUCUUAACACACAACGUUGCUUGCCACCGUUUCUAUUAUUUCAUUUUCCUUUCCUCUGUUUCUGACCAUAUUAAACCAAAUCCUCGCCGCUUCCGUUCUUUAAUUCUUCUCCAACAAAAUUCUUUCUUUUUUCUUUGCGCUUCAACAUUUUUCCAAGGAACGGAGGGGCUGCACUGCACAUAUUUGAAAAUGGUUCAGAUUAAAGAUUUUUAUCCUAUUUUAGAAAUCGCCAUUUAUUCUUGGAAUUCUGUUUUCUGAAUUAUGUCUGCCUCUUUCUGUUUAUUUGUUCAUAUUGUUGUGGGAUCAUGACGCAAUUUGUUGAUUUCUUUGCUGUUAAAAUCAAUUUUCCGAAAAUUUGUUUUUCUUAACUGGGUUUGUGGUGCAGUCGGAUUGUUAUGCCAUUAUCAGUGGAAGAGGUAAUUGCAAUUGAUGUUUUGAGAAAAAUAUACUCCCUCCGUACCUUAAAAACAACAACUUUUGAAGGGUAACUGGCAAUUGGUAAUGUUAGAGAGAUCAGAAUACAAAAAAUUUUCAAGUAGCUCAGAUAUACAUGGUGAUGAAAAUGCAGCAACAGAACACCAAUUCAACGGAAGGGGUGGAGGUGUUAGAGAACAGACCCUUCGAAGAUCAACUAAUUGGAAAAGGCCAAUAAUACACUUUGAAAAUUUAUAGGCUGCAAAGCAAAGCUCCUACUUGGUUAUCUGCAUUUGCCCCGGCCGAUGCUCUUGUGAUGCAGGAGGAAGCUUGGAAUGCUUAUCCAAGAUGUAAAUUAGGCCUCCUAAUUAGGUACGAAGUAAUUACCUGAAUGGGAGUGAGUUUCCUGCGGUAGAAGCGAUCGGCCAACUCAGGAACUCCCCCGACGUUUCUAUGCAGGCUCCGGCAGGCGUGUGAGGCGUGAAGGCAGUCG
Molecule: long non-coding RNA, 1000 nt
Organism: Salvia splendens (bonfire salvia)
Lineage: Eukaryota; Viridiplantae; Streptophyta; Magnoliopsida; Lamiales; Lamiaceae
Exons: 4
Source: RefSeq, a predicted model, not a curated record